RNAcentral lists this long non-coding RNA (2474 nucleotides) under Lupinus angustifolius (narrow-leaved blue lupine). RNAcentral's name for it is "long non-coding RNA (LANG_LNC002246)". Lineage: Eukaryota; Viridiplantae; Streptophyta; Magnoliopsida; Fabales; Fabaceae. The record is from RNAcentral.
AGAGAAAUUGAAGUUGAAAAGACAUGAGCUUUACCUUCAUUCAUUUCUUCAAUCUUAUCAUUUCCAUCUUUCUCUUUCUCCGUAUCCUUAUCUCUCUUUCUUUCUUCUUCACUAAAUUUUCAACAUUCUUUUCUCUUCCUCAUUGAACCUCCUCCUUUCUCUAUUUUUCAAAUAUUGAGACUCACCAUUUUUUCUUCUACAUUUUUUGACAGGUACGAUUUUUUUCUCAACACACCAUUGGGUUCUUCGCUCAAAGGUAUAAUCUUUCCUUUUAAGCUUAUUCAUAUUUGCAAGUUUGUUUGUCUUCAUUUUAUGCAUUUUAGUCUGCAUCUUCUAAUCACACGUUUUUUUUCAUCUUCAUCACACUUCCAAUGUUUCUUAUAUCUUCAUCACAUGUUUUUUCUCUCUUCCUUUCCAUUUUACACAAAAAAAAAAAUUGAUUAACCGGGUGGAUAGUCUUUAUCCGAAGUUUGAAUCUUUGUAUAAGAAAGUUGGAAAUUUUGAUAUCAUAGAAGAAAGUUUUAAUCUUUAUAGAAAAAAGUUUGUAUCUUUAUAGAAGAAAGUUGGAAUUUUGAAUAAUAUUGAAGAAAGUUAGAAUCUUUAUAGAAAAAGAUUGUAGAAGAAAGUUGAAAUUUUUGAUAUUAUAGAUGAAACUUGGAAUUUUUUAUUUUAUAGAAGAAAUUUGAAAUCUUCAAAUAAGAAAGUCUAAAUCUUUAGUGAAUCUUUGGGAGCUUAUAUGUUGUUGGUGACCCUCACUUUUGUUUCCAUCUUGAUAAAUCUUUACUUCAUUAUUAAUCUAAAUAAUGAACCUGAUCAUCUACUUGAAAUAUAAUUACCAUUUUAUUCAUUUUUUAAAGAAUACUUAUUUUUAAAUUAACUAUGUUUUAAGUUUAAAUAAUUCAAUUUAAAUUUUUAGAUAAGUUAAUCUCAUUGUUAGAUAAGAAAAUCGACUAUGAAAAGGAAGAUUCAAUUUAAGUUUAGAAAAGCUAAAAUAUGAUAUAAAUAACUUGAAUUAAUCUUUUAAUUCAAUUAUUUAUUAACCAGUUUUUAUAUAAUGUGUAUGUGUUGAUUUUUUUACUUUAUUAUUGCAAAUGAUUGUUUCUACUUUACUUAAAUCUCAUGCUAUUAUUAACACCUCAUUAUAUGAUAUCUUGUGUUUCAAUCAGUUAUAUGUUUUUGUAUUUUUGUACUAAGCAUAUAUAUUCAAGUUAAAGUAUAAUAUACAAUACAUAUACUAUGUAUAUAUAUACAUAUACAUGUAUGUAUGCAUCUCUUAUUUGUACUUUAUUACAUUCAUUAUCCAGUUUUUGUAUUAUGUGUAUGAGUUGAGUUGAAGAUAACAUUUUUUUGAAUGAUUUAUCAUUAUACUUUAUUUCAACUUUCUUGGUUGUAUUUUGGGUAUGCAUCUUUAUUAUGUCUUUGUCUCAAAAGCUUAUUUGGUUCAGUUUAUUGAAAAGGUAACCAUGAGACAUUGGUAGCUAUGAAUUGAGCCUGUACCUUUUAUGUUUUCAAACUUACCUACUCUGCUGAAAUGAAAUAGAGCCAUCAAUAAUGAUUUCCCUAAAAACCUGCUAAAGUAAGUACUUUAACAUUAUUACUUUUCAUGUAACGUGUUUGUCUCCUUUCACACUCAACCUUCUGUGCCUACAUUAUUCAUUAAUUUGUUUUAUAUUUGUUGCAGAUCAACAAUCAUCAUUUUUCAUGGCAUUGGAAAAAUAAACAUAAUGAUAUCCAAAAAUAUCUUCCUCCAACUACUAUAAUCAUUUUCUUCUAUUUUCUGUUUUUCUCUAUCAUUGAAUGUGUAUAUUUAUUUAUCUUUUGUUUUUUAGUAUUCUAACUACAGCAAAAAAUGUUACUAAAGUCACAUGUUGAAUAGCCAUGAAAAAAUACAAAGGACACCCAUAAAUUAGUGAGAUACCAUUCAUAUAUUAGACACUCACAUAACUUGAUAAUGAUCAGUUGUGAGGACAUUUUGAUCAUUCUAAUAUAUUAUUUCUAUGAUAUAACAAUGCUUCAUUUAUUACAAUUGUACUUCUAUGUCAUUACCAUAGUGUUAAUAGUUUUUAAAAUUUCUAGCAUGCCAAUGAUAUCACACAUUUUCAGGGUUUAUCACAUAACACAUCAUUUAAUGCAAUUGUACUUCUCUUUUAUUAUUAUUACAGUUUCAAUAAUUUUAAAAUGUGCAUAUUUCUUUAUCUUUUGUUUAUAGAUUCUCAUCUCAGAGAAGAAAAUGUUAAAGUCACAUGUGUAAUAGCCAUGAAAAAUACAAAGGACACCUCUAAACUUAAUACCACCAAAGAUAAAAGUUGUUAUUUUGAGUGUGAGAUACAAGUGAUCUUCAAACAAAACAAAGAUUUUGCUAUUUUAAAAAAAAAAAUAUAGGACAAAGGCAUUCCAAUCCAUGAAAAAAAUCGGUAAUGAUUUGUGAAACAUGAGAGGCUAUACAUGUGACAAAAAUGAAUUUAGAAUUUAUG